UGAGUACGAGAUGCUACGGCAUCGAAGCAGUCUAUGUCAUACUUCCAAGAAAAGCUUGCACUGUCAUAAACAAAGAAUGCCUGUACCAUAACCGACACAGGUGGGUAGGUAGAGUAUACUAAGGGGCGCGAGAUAACUCUCUCUAAGGAACUCGGCAAAAUGACUCCGUAACUUCGGGAGAAGGAGUGCCUUAUUUCUAAGGUUGCAAUAACAAGAUCCAAGCAACUGUUUACCAAAAACACAGGUCUCCGCUAAGUCGUAAGACGAUGUAUGGGGGCUGACGCCUGCCCAGUGCCAGAAGGUUAAAGAAGUUGGUUAGCAUUAGCGAAGCUGAUAACUGAAGCCCUGGUGAACGGCGGCCGUAACGAUAACGGUCCUAAGGUAGCGAAAUUCCUUGUCGGGUAAGUUCCGACCCGCACGAAAGGCGUAAUGAUUUGGAUACUGUCUCGGAGAGGGGCUCGGUGAAAUAGACUUGUCUGUGAAGAUGCGGACUACCUGCACCUGGACAGAAAGACCCUAUGAAGCUUUACUGUAACUUGAGAUUGAAAUUGGACUUUAUUUGCGCAGUAUAGGUGGGAGGCGUUGAGAAUAAUCUUGCGGGAUUGUUGGAGCCAUCAGUGAGAUACCACUCUUGUAAUGUUAGAUUUCUAACUUUGUAUCAUUAUCUGGUCAAAGAACAGUUUCAGGCGGGCAGUUUGACUGGGGCGGUCGCCUCCCAAAGGGUAACGGAGGCGCACAAAGGUUUCCUCUGAACGGGUAGAAAUCGUAUCUAGAGUGUAAAGGCAUAAGGAAGCUUGACUGUGAGACCUACAAGUCGAGCAGGGACGAAAGUCGGUCUUAGUGAUCUGACGGUGCUGAGUGGAAAGGCCGUCACUCAACGGAUAAAAGUUACUCUAGGAUAACAGGCUGAUCUCCCCCAAGAGUUCACAUCGACGGGGAGGUUUGGCACCUCGAUGUCGGCUCAUCGCAUCCUGGGCGGUAGUCCGUCCCAAGGGUUGGGCUGUUCGCCCAUGAAAGCGGUACGCGAGCUGGGUUCAGAACGUCGUGAGACAGUUCGGUCCAUAUCCGGUGUAGGCGUUAGAAUAUUGAGAGGAGCCUUCUCUAGUACGAGAGGACCGAGAAGGACAUACCUCUGGUGUACCAGUUAUCGUGCCAACGGUAAACGCUGGGUAGCUAUGUAUGGAGUGGAUAACCGCUGAAAGCAUCUAAGUGGGAAGCCCACCUCAAGAUAAG
Molecule: ribosomal RNA, 1233 nt
Filed under: metagenome
Description: bacterial LSU rRNA
Rfam family: Bacterial large subunit ribosomal RNA
Source: RNAcentral